RNAcentral lists this ribosomal RNA (433 nucleotides) under uncultured bacterium. RNAcentral describes it as "partial 16S ribosomal RNA". It matches the Rfam family "Bacterial small subunit ribosomal RNA", at positions 29 to 507 of the family's 1533-position model. The record is from RNAcentral.
AACGAACGCUGGCGGCAUGCCUGACACAUGCAAGUCGAACGAGACCUUCGGGUCUAGUGGCGCACGGGUGCGUAACGCGUGGGAACCUGCCCUUAGGUUCGGAAUAACUCCCCGAAAGGGGUGCUAAUACCGGAUAAUGUCUUCGGACCAAAGAUUUAUCGCCUUUGGAUGGGCCCGCGUUGGAUUAGCUAGUUGGUAGGGUAAAAGCCUACCAAGGCGACGAUCCAUAGCUGGUCUGAGAGGAUGAUCAGCCACACUGGGACUGAGACACGGCCCAGACUCCUACGGGAGGUAGCAGUGGGGAAUAUUGGACAAUGGGCGAAAGCCUGAUCCAGCAAUGCCGCGUGAGUGAUGAAGGCCUUAGGGUUGUAAAGCUCUUUUACCCGGGAUGAUAAUGACAGUACCGGGAGAAUAAGCUCCGGCUAACUCCGUG